AGCGAACGUUUGCGGCGGGCUUAACACAUGCAAGUCGAACGAGAAUCCCUUCGGGGAGGAAAGUGGCGCACGGGUGCGUAACACGUGGAUAACCAACCCAUUGGUUUGGGACAACACCGGGAAACUGGUGCUAAUACCAGAUGUGUCGCAGCUGUCUUCAGGCGGUUGCGAGAAAGGCCCGCAAGGGUCGCCAACGGACGGGUCCGCGUCCCAUCAGCUAGUUGGUGAGGUAAUGGCUCACCAAGGCAAAGACGGGUAGCUGGUCUGAGAGGAUGAUCAGCCACACUGGAACUGAGACACGGUCCAGACUCCUACGGGAGGCAGCAGUGGGGAAUAUUGCGCAAUGGGCGAAAGCCUGACGCAGCCACGCCGCGUGAGCGAUGAAGGUCCUCGGAUCGUAAAGCUCUGUGGGGGGAGAAGAAGAAAGCCGGUGAAGAGCCGGCCCUCGACGGUAGUCCCCUUACGCAAGACACCGGCUAACUCCGUGCCAGCAGCCGCGGUAAAGUAG
This 508-nucleotide ribosomal RNA is filed under the name uncultured bacterium. Its description in RNAcentral is "bacterial SSU rRNA". It matches the Rfam family "Bacterial small subunit ribosomal RNA", at positions 29 to 528 of the family's 1533-position model. The record is from RNAcentral.